This 167-nucleotide ribosomal RNA is filed under the name Plasmodium berghei. RNAcentral describes it as "5.8S ribosomal RNA". The stretch from base 6 to 141 matches the Rfam family "5.8S ribosomal RNA". Rfam says of the family: 5.8S ribosomal RNA (5.8S rRNA) is a component of the large subunit of the eukaryotic ribosome. Lineage: Eukaryota; Apicomplexa; Aconoidasida; Haemosporida; Plasmodiidae. The record is from RNAcentral.
AAGCACAAUUUUAACGAUGGAUGUCUUGGUUCCUACAGCGAUGAAGGCCGUAGCAAAAUACGAUAGACAAUGAAAAUUGCAAUUACUGUGAAUCAUCUGAAUGCUGAAUGUAAACUACUCCCAGCCCUUUUAUAAGGGUUAUGUGGAACUCCUAUUCUAUAUGUUCA